GAUGGUUAUAAUUUAAUGGUAAAAUUUCGGACUGUGGAUUCGAAUAUAAGGGUUCGAUUCCCUUUAAUCAUCA
RNAcentral lists this transfer RNA (73 nucleotides) under Candidatus Vidania fulgoroideorum. RNAcentral describes it as "tRNA-His". It matches the Rfam family "tRNA". From Rfam's summary of the family: Transfer RNA (tRNA) molecules are approximately 80 nucleotides in length. Their secondary structure includes four short double-helical elements and three loops (D, anti-codon, and T loops). The record is from RNAcentral. Lineage: Bacteria; Pseudomonadati; Pseudomonadota; Betaproteobacteria.